GACGAACGCUGGCGGCGUGCUUAACACAUGCAAGUCGAACGGAAAGGCCUUGCUUUUGUGGGGUGCUCGAGUGGCGAACGGGUGAGUAACACGUGAGUAACCUGUCCUUGACUUUGGGAUAACUUCAGGAAACUGGGGCUAAUACCGGAUAGGAGCUCCUGCUGCAUGGUGGGGGUUGGAUAGUUUCGGCGGUUGGGGAUGGACUCGCGGCUUAUCAGCUUGUUGGUGGGGUAGUGGCUUACCAAGGCUUUGACGGGUAGCCGGCCUGAGAGGGUGACCGGCCACAUUGGGACUGAGAUACGGCCCAGACUCCUACGGGAGGCAGCAGUGGAGAAUAUUGCACAAUGGGCGGAAGCCUGAUGCAGCAACGCCGCGUGCGGGAUGACGGCCUUCGGGUUGUAAACCGCUUUCGCCUGUGACGAAGCGUGAGUGACGGUAAUGGGUAAAGAAGCACCGGCUAACUACGUG
RNAcentral lists this ribosomal RNA (468 nucleotides) under uncultured bacterium. Its description in RNAcentral is "partial 16S ribosomal RNA". It matches the Rfam family "Bacterial small subunit ribosomal RNA", at positions 28 to 507 of the family's 1533-position model. The record is from RNAcentral.